GUUUCCCAGUGCACCCAACUUGUGAUAGAAGGUAUAUGUUCUGCUGAAAAAGAGAAAAAGGAAAAAAAAGAAUAAAAGCAGAAGAUGAAGCAGAGCUCGCCCUGCCCUCAAGGAGCAUCCUAUCUGGUUUGGAGGGUGGAGAAGGGAAGAGUGGGCAGAAAGACAUUCCUGCAAAGACUGAUGCAUGGAAACCAGGGCACACUCUCCCACUCAGGAGAGGCGCCCUGAAUUCCAUGCCGGGUCAUUACAGAGCCAGUGGCGGAGACUCUAUGAGACCCAGCCCCACUGGCUGCAGCCCCUUCGGAUGCAUCUGCGAGAGCAGCCUGGCCGUCACCCGCCGGCCUGGCCCGUGCUGUCAGCCGGCCAGAGCGUGUCUGAAUCGAGGAAAGCUGACUGGGGCUCGAUUCACACUGACUCGAGCCGCAAGAUCUGAGCAUCAUUACGAGCUGCCAUGGAGGCCCUUCACUACCUUAAACUUCACAACAAGCCUAUGAGGCUCCUCCAGGUAGCCGAGCCUCAGCCACCAGGGCCACAGACUUCUCUGCUGCCUUGAGGGACCUACGGGACUAGCAGGAGCUGCUCUUCCUCGUACGACUUCUACCCACCCAGGGAUAUCACUUGACCUCUCUGAGCCUGCUUCCUCCUGGAGACAACAGUGUAUACUCAGGGCUAUUGCGGGGAAUGACAAGGAAAAUGGAUGAAAAUGUGCUGGAGAAAUUCUGAGGCAUCAGUCAGAUGAAAGAGCCUGUUUGGCGAAGACUUUUCAGGUGUGCCGACUGCCCCAAGCUGACCCAGUGCGGAUCCUAACUGGCCCCACCAGCAUCUUCCAUGCUCACCCAGCUGGCCCAUGUCUUGAAGAUGCCCUGGGCUCCCAGCUCUGCCACCCCAGCUUUCUGAGUCUCCAUGGAUCGGGAUCACUGGGGACCCAGCAGGAAGAAGUUGGAGAAGAUAGGAAGGCAGGACGGGACUGGAAUGAUUCUAGGAUGACCACCCCACUGGCCCCUGCAGCAGAAGGAGCCUCAGCCUGGGCCCUGUCUCUGCCAACGCCCCCUCCUGGCAGAAUGGGCAGCCUAUCUGGGUAAAGACCUGCCCAGACCCCACAGCCAAGGGCAGCCCCUCAGAGAUUCAGGCCAGGAGCGGCCUUUGUUCCCCACACCUGGAGCUCAGAGCUUGCUUAGCCUGCGGUGGAAGCUCUGGUUUAAUUAAGGAUCUUAGGAGAGAAUUCUCUCUUGUUAUUUUCUGAA
Molecule: long non-coding RNA, 1244 nt
Filed under: Homo sapiens (human)
Lineage: Eukaryota; Metazoa; Chordata; Mammalia; Primates; Hominidae
Description: HSALNT0291488
Source: RNAcentral